CUCUUAAAAUAUGUGGUAUUUGUGGUAUAAGGCAUAGUGACAUUGCCUUCUCUCUCAUCCUACUCUAAUAAGGCUUUAAUAUCUGGAGCUCAUAGGUGGGAGAUAAAAUAUACAUACUUACAAGACAUUUAUUGUAUAGUCAAACCAUGGAUCCAAAGUAACAAGCCAAUAAGUCAAAUCAAGAUGUGCAUGUGUGGCGAAUGAAUGGUGUAUUGUGAUCAUGUUGAUAACAAUGGUGAAAGUCUAAAUCUUUUGCUCUUUGAGGGGAUACAUACCUUUCAUGCUUUUUGAAACUUUUUGAGGAGAAUGAGAUGCUCUUCUUCUUUUUUUCUUUUCUCUCAGGUCGGUAUCUUGUACCCCUAAUUCUACUGUCGGACACUUGUCCAUUUUUACCUCUCGUCCCACUUUUUCUUUUCUUUCGAGGUUCCGGGCACUUGCCCCUUUUUAUUUCCUCGUAUCUCUUUUUUUAGAGCACUCAUCUCAUGAGAUAAUGUAGCAAGUGGUAGUAACAAGAUAACUUAAGCAUUUAUUUCACAGGGGAAAAAUAGAAAUAUUUUUGGCUAUUCUCUCCCGAAUUAGGAGUAGAAUAUUUUUGGGUGGUUCUGGAGAUGGAAAUGAGUGGAUAUAUGUGGAUGGUACUUCCGGAGUAGAAGUAGCAUAUAUGAGUGAACGUGCAAGUGAAUCUUGAUUUUAACCACAUGACAAGCUCCUAAGGGUCUACACAGCUUGACCACACUCAAUGCUCAUAAGCAGUAAAAAGUAAAUGUGUGGCUACAAGUCUAGCAAACAUGUAUAUAUGGCUGUGGUAGGAAUUUAAACUCUCAUCAUACAGGAACUCAUCAUACAAUAUUUUAAAGAUUUUUCGAAGAUAAAAUUCUCCAGAAUUCUAGCAUCUCUAGGAACAGCUAAACAGCAGCUCAACCUUCCCAUAUCAUAUCCGUUAACAACUUAGACUUCAGAUCA
Molecule: long non-coding RNA, 963 nt
Filed under: Sorghum bicolor (sorghum)
Lineage: Eukaryota; Viridiplantae; Streptophyta; Magnoliopsida; Poales; Poaceae
Description: long non-coding RNA (SBIC_LNC014395)
Source: RNAcentral